UAAGGAAUAUUGGUCAAUGGACGCAAGUCUGAACCAGCCAUGCCGCGUGAAGGAUGAAGGUCCUCUGGAUUGUAAACUCCUUUUAUCUGGGACGAAAACGGGAUUUUUAUCUCAAUUGACGGUACCAGAGGAAUAAGCACCGGCUAACUCCGUGCCAGCAGCCGCGGUAAUACGGAGGGUGCGAGCGUUAUCCGGAUUUACUGGGUUUAAAGGGUGCGUAGGUGGGCAGAUAAGUCAGUGGUGAAAUCUUCCGGCUUAACCGGGAAACUGCCGUUGAUACUAUUUGUCUUGAAUAUUGCGGAGGUAAGCGGAAUAUGUCAUGUAGCGGUGAAAUGCUUAGAUAUGACAUAGAACACCAAUUGCGAAGGCAGCUUACUACACAAUCAUUGACACUGAGGCACGAAAGCGUGGGUAGCGAACA
This 421-nucleotide ribosomal RNA is filed under the name uncultured bacterium. RNAcentral's name for it is "bacterial SSU rRNA". It matches the Rfam family "Bacterial small subunit ribosomal RNA", at positions 355 to 774 of the family's 1533-position model. The record is from RNAcentral.